GAAGAAACCUGCAGAUGAUAUCUCCAAUGGCCGGCCAAAAGACUUGCUUUCACUAGUUCAGGGUGGUGUCCAUGUUUCCCGUAGGAUAGCUACGAAGCAUAUGCCAUCAAACUUUCCAUUCCGAAUCCCUGAACUUGUGGACAGGCAUGUUAUAUCAAAUUUGACUUCUCCUGGAAUUGAAAACUCUGAGGAAUGGCGCAAUGUUAAUGAUGUUAAACCAGCAAUAGCUCCAGCUCUCCUCACAUGUGAAGAUUUUGAAAAGUCAAUUCUGUCAGAAAGCACUGAAAUUUAUCCAAAUUUCCUUGUUGCUGCAUCUCUUUGUAUUCAAGAUGAAAGUGGUUCUCCUGCAUGUCAACUGCUGUUGUCAUAACGAUUCUGUUUCAUCUUUUGUAAGUCAAUAAUAUGCAUAUUUUUUUUGUUGGAUUUUCAGGUCCGUUUGGGUGCGGCUGGCCAUAGUCAAAACUCCGGUACUAUCGCAUUGUAUUGAUUGUCUCAUUGCUCAGAUUUGCUAUUAAAGAGAAGGUACUUGCCGAGGAAGCUGCCAAGAGGAUGACCUAUGAGCUAAAAUAGAAUUGAUUUCCUGUUACUUUAGGACAUUAUGGUCAUUUUGGGUCUUCUAAAGUAGUUCAUAAUAAAAGCAGUGUUUCUUUUCUUUGAAGGCAGGUUAUAAUUGAAUUUUCUGGUAAUGCUGUUUGAGGGUGACUAGGUUUUUCCGUGCUUGAAGCUGCCUUCUUUAUUCAUGAACUGUUAGGUUAGACUCAAUGCAAUUUGCCCAUCAUUUUAAUCAUUUUAUUACAACUCAAAAAAGAAAAAAAAUGAUAAUACUUGAAGUUGGCAUUUGGUUG
RNAcentral lists this long non-coding RNA (845 nucleotides) under Theobroma cacao (cacao). Its description in RNAcentral is "long non-coding RNA (TCAC_LNC000637)". Lineage: Eukaryota; Viridiplantae; Streptophyta; Magnoliopsida; Malvales; Malvaceae. The record is from RNAcentral.